CCUAUUCACCAUCCUACCCUUUGAGAGCGGCAAAGAGAAACACACUCCCGCCAAAUAUCAAUCGCAUCCCGUUUAUACCUCAUGGCAGUUGACAAGAUUACCAAUAUUGUUCAUCUCAAUGGUUGCCCUGUAAACAUACUGCCAUCAAGAUGCAAAAAUCUCCUAGUCAUGACUCCUCAAGGCCAAGGUGGGAAAACAUGGUUGAAUCGCCUAUCAUCGAGCAAGAAUCAUCUAAAUUUAGGUUGAAGUUGAGAUAUAUAUGGAGGCUUCUUUCGGUUUGCCAAGAACUCUUACAGGAAAAAGUAUUGCUUUGGAUAUCAAUAAUGUAUCUACAUGGAUACAUACACAUACAACUUUAAUCAACUGAAUGAAGAGGUUAUAAAGCAUUAUUCAUCAAGGAGUGAUCUUGUUUUCUCGAUUGUUUUUGUUGACAAGACUGCCAGAGUGCAAACCUUUAUUGAGCUUGAUUCAGAUGAGAAGUUCGUGGAAAUGCUUACCAUGUAUGCGAAUGAAAAAGAAGUAUGCAUUUACGUGACAACAGAUAAGAAUACUUUUGGCACUAGUAACAUGCAACAAAGGGAACAAGAUGAAAUUGUUGAUGAACUCCAUGAUGAAGAUAAUUCAGACUCUUGUCC
Long non-coding RNA from Erigeron canadensis, 635 nucleotides. RefSeq lists it as uncharacterized. The transcript is spliced from 4 exons. The record is from RefSeq and is a predicted model, not a curated record. NCBI's taxonomy places the organism in Eukaryota, Viridiplantae, Streptophyta, Magnoliopsida, Asterales, Asteraceae.